Molecule: ribosomal RNA, 403 nt
Filed under: uncultured Sphingomonas sp.
Lineage: Bacteria; Pseudomonadati; Pseudomonadota; Alphaproteobacteria; Sphingomonadales; Sphingomonadaceae
Description: bacterial SSU rRNA
Rfam family: Bacterial small subunit ribosomal RNA
Source: RNAcentral
UGGGAAGUAUUGGACAAUGGGCGAAAGCCUGAUCCAGCAAUGCCGCGUGAGUGAUGAAGGCCUUAGGGUUGUAAAGCUCUUUUACCCGGGAUGGAUAAUGACAGUACCGGGAGAAUAAGCUCCGGCUAACUCCGUGCCAGCAGCCGCGGUAAUACGGAGGGAGCUAGCGUUGUUCGGAAUUACUGGGCGUAAAGCGCACGUAGGCGGCUUUGUAAGUCAGAGGUGAAAGCCUGGAGCUCAACUCCAGAACUGCCUUUGAGACUGCAUCGCUUGAAUCAGGAGAGGUGAGUGGAAUUCCGAGUGUAGAGGUGAAAUUCGUAGAUAUUCGGAAGAACACCAGUGGCGAAGGCGGCUCACUGGACUUGGUAUUGACGCUGAGGUGCGAAAGCGUGGGAGCAAAACA